Non-coding RNA from Methylocystis sp., 62 nucleotides. The record is from Rfam. NCBI's taxonomy places the organism in Bacteria, Pseudomonadati, Pseudomonadota, Alphaproteobacteria, Hyphomicrobiales, Methylocystaceae.
GCUUCCCUACGGGAUGGGGCUCCCGGUAACCGCCUGAUGAGGCUGAUGGCUCCUGCCGCAAG